This 254-nucleotide ribosomal RNA is filed under the name uncultured bacterium. Its description in RNAcentral is "partial 16S ribosomal RNA". It matches the Rfam family "Bacterial small subunit ribosomal RNA", at positions 524 to 776 of the family's 1533-position model. The record is from RNAcentral.
UACAGGGGGAGCAAGCGUUGUUCGGAGUUACUGGGCGUAAAGGGUGUGUAGGCGGUUGUUUAAGUUUGGUGUGAAAUCUCCCGGCUCAACUGGGAGGGUGCGCCGAAUACUGAAUGACUUCGAGUGCGGGAGAGGUGAGUGGAAUUCCUGGUGUAGCGGUGAAAUGCGUAGAUAUCAGGAGGAACACCGGUGGUGUAGACGGCUCACUGGACCGUAACUGACGCUGAGACACGAAAGCGUGGGUAGCAAACAGG